UGGAUCCAGACUUUGAUUCUGGCUCAGGACGAACGCUGGCGGCGUGCCUAACACAUGCAAGUCGAACGGAGAUAAAGAUUUCGGUUUUUAUCUUAGUGGCGCACGGGUGAGUAACACGUGAAUAACCUGACCCAAAGAGGGGGAUAACACCUGGAAACAGGUGCUAAUACCGCAUAAGACCACAAUGCCGCAUGGCGAAGGGGUCAAAGAAAAUCGCUUUGGGAGGGGUUCGCGUCCCAUUAGGUAGUAGGCGGGGUAACGGCCCACCUAGCCGACGAUGGGUAGCCGAGCUGAGAGGCUGAUCGGCCACACUGGAACUGAGACACGGUCCAGACUCCUACGGGAGGCAGCAGUGGGGAAUAUUGGGCAAUGGGCGCAAGCCUGACCCAGCAACGCCGCGUGAGGGAAGAAGGUUUUCGGAUUGUAAACCUCUGUCGCAGAAGACGAAGGAAGUGACGGUAUUCUGUGAGGAAGCCCCGGCUAACUACGUGCCAGCAGCCGCGGUAAUACGUAGGGGGCGAGCGUUGUCCGGAAUUACUGGGCGUAAAGGGAGCGUAGGCGGUCUGAUAAGUUGGAUGUGAAGUACCCGGGCUUAACUUGGGGGGUGCAUCCAAUACUGUUGGACUAGAGUACAGGAGAGGAAAGCGGAAUUCCUAGUGUAGCGGUGAAAUGCAUAGAUAUUAGGAGGAACAUCGGUGGCGAAGGCGGCUUUCUGGACUGCAACUGACGCUGAGGCGCGAAAGCGUGGGGAGCAAACAGGAUUAGAUACCCUGGUAGUCCACGCUGUAAACGAUCGAUACUAGGUGUGGGGGGACUGACCCCCUCCGUGCCGCAGUUAACACAAUAAGUAUCCCACCUGGGGAGUACGAUCGCAAGGUUGCAACUCAAAGGAAUUGACGGA
Molecule: ribosomal RNA, 901 nt
Filed under: uncultured Bacillota bacterium
Lineage: Bacteria; Bacillati; Bacillota
Description: bacterial SSU rRNA
Rfam family: Bacterial small subunit ribosomal RNA
Source: RNAcentral